RNAcentral lists this ribosomal RNA (368 nucleotides) under Salmonella enterica subsp. enterica serovar Agona str. 246555-3. RNAcentral's name for it is "bacterial LSU rRNA". It matches the Rfam family "Bacterial large subunit ribosomal RNA", at positions 1 to 409 of the family's 2925-position model. Lineage: Bacteria; Pseudomonadati; Pseudomonadota; Gammaproteobacteria; Enterobacterales; Enterobacteriaceae. The record is from RNAcentral.
GGUUAAGCGACUAAGCGUACACGGUGGAUGCCCUGGCAGUCAGAGGCGAUGAAGGGCGUGCUAAUCUGCGAUAAGCGCCGGUAAGGUGAUAUGAACCGUUAUAACCGGCGAUACCCGAAUGGGGAAACCCAGUGUGAUUCGUCACACUAUCAUUAACUGAAUCCAUAGGUUAAUGAGGCGAACCGGGGGAACUGAAACAUCUAAGUACCCCGAGGAAAAGAAAUCAACCGAGAUUCCCCCAGUAGCGGCGAGCGAACGGGGAGGAGCCCAGAGCCUGAAUCAGCAUGUGUGUUAGUGGAAGCGUCUGGAAAGGCGCGCGAUACAGGGUGACAGCCCCGUACACAAAAGCGCAUGUGCUGUGAGCUCGA